This 1288-nucleotide unclassified non-coding RNA is filed under the name Hevea brasiliensis (rubber tree). The record is from RNAcentral. Lineage: Eukaryota; Viridiplantae; Streptophyta; Magnoliopsida; Malpighiales; Euphorbiaceae.
UAAUGAUUCUCAAAAGUCUAACAAUACAGUGUCUACUAAUAUGAUGUCUAACAAUACGGAGUAUAACCUCAAAAACGAGGUUUUUCGAACUAUUUAUAGAAAAUAAAAACCUAACUAAACAAGGACUCUAUUUGCUGGAAAUCUGCCAAAACGCGGCUGGGUCGACAGAACUCACGACGGAUCGUCAUGGUCACGAUGGACCGUCAUGGACUCUGUCGUCCCAUACUUAUGCAAUUUCUUUUGCUUCUCUCUUCAUUACCCUCGACGGCAGGUAUGACGGACCGUCAUAGGCACAACGGUCUAUCGAGGGUCUUCGUUUCAACACACUUGAACUCUUGGAAUAUGGGUACUGGGACUACUUCUCUGAACUUCAUGACGAACCUGCAGGACGGACCGUCAUGAACUCCGUAGCCCCGCACUUGGUCAGACUUCCCCAUCUUCUUUCAGCAGCUGCACUACGCUGCCACCUACAGACCGUCACAAGCACGACGGACCGUCAUAAGCUCUGUAGGUCGUCUAUUCUGCAUUUCUUCACUCAAAAUCUCCGCAUUCAUCUUUGGACAGAUUUCCUUAAAAAGUAAAUCGCUUACUACUGAAUGGAGAUGCUUGGCGUCGAAAACAUUGAGAACAUGACCACCAGUAUAUCUUUUUCGUGAGAUAAACCUUGCACCAUACGUCCAUACCAGAUAGCCAAAGCAUAGGUAGAGUACAUAAUAGCAAAAGGAAAUAAGCUUAGUCUUUUGAAAUGUUUAAAAGAAUUUUUGUUGAACUUACAAAGUAAAGAUGGAUAGUACGGAACAACCCACGAGUUAUUAAGAAACUGUCCUCUAAUUUUCACACUUCUUCCUGUAUUUCAUCUUUAUAAAUUGGGUACGAAUUUUCUCCUUUAGUUGUUUGUUCUACAAACUCUUUAGGAUACUUAUGUUUACAAUAUCUUUUUUUAUCAAACAAGAAUUUGUUGGAUUCAAAUUACCACAAGAACCAUGCAUCACGUGUUGCGUAACAAGUGAAUAUAAAUAGGGAAGUCAUUUCCAUGACUACCUGCUACGAUAUAAGAAUGAAAAAUUCGUUUAGCAUCUUGUCACUUAAUGGUAGUGAAUGAAAGUCUUAAAGAGAUAAUGAUAGAGCAACUUUCAAACAAAUAAAAUUUAAACAUAGUUUAGUAGUAAUUAAAGCAAAAUAAAGAUACAACACUCUUAUGUGACUUUUAUGAUUGACACUAUAUUUAUUCCAAAAUGGAACAAGAAACAUUAAGAAUUGACUAAUGAAUCCAGGCCACCAUUGUCAG